AAUGCUUUACACAUGCAAGUCGAACGGUAGAGGGGGCAACCCCUUGAGAGUGGCGAACGGGUGAGUAAUGUAUCGGAACGUGCCCAGUCGUGGGGGAUAACGUAGUGAAAAUUACGCUAAUACCGCAUACGAUCUAUGGAUGAAAGCGGGGGAUCGCAAGACCUCGCGCGAUUGGAGCGGCCGAUAUCAGAUUAGGUAGUUGGUAGGGUAAAGGCCUACCAAGCCAACGAUCUGUAGCUGGUCUGAGAGGACGACCAGCCACACUGGAACUGAGACACGGUCCAGACUCCUACGGGAGGCAGCAGUGGGGAAUUUUGGACAAUGGGCGAAAGCCUGAUCCAGCCAUUCCGCGUGCAGGAUGAAGGCCCUCGGGUUGUAAACUGCUUUUGUACAGAACGAAAAGGUUUCUAUUAAUACUAGGAGCUCAUGACGGUACUGUAAGAAUAAGCACCGGCUAACUACGUGCCAGCAGCCGCGGUAAUACGUAGGGUGCAAGCGUUAAUCGGAAUUACUGGGCGUAAAGCGUGCGCAGGCGGUUAUAUAAGUCAGAUGUGAAAUCCCCGGGCUCAACCUGGGAACUGCAUUUGAGACUGUAUAGCUAGAGUACGGUAGAGGGGGAUGGAAUUCCGCGUGUAGCAGUGAAAUGCGUAGAUAUGCGGAGGAACACCGAUGGCGAAGGCAAUCCCCUGGACCUGUACUGACGCUCAUGCACGAAAGCGUGGGGAGCAAACAGGAUUAGAUACCCUGGUAGUCCACGCCCUAAACGAUGUCAACUGGUUG
RNAcentral lists this ribosomal RNA (780 nucleotides) under uncultured beta proteobacterium. RNAcentral's name for it is "bacterial SSU rRNA". It matches the Rfam family "Bacterial small subunit ribosomal RNA", at positions 43 to 822 of the family's 1533-position model. Lineage: Bacteria; Pseudomonadati; Pseudomonadota; Betaproteobacteria. The record is from RNAcentral.